Molecule: long non-coding RNA, 1902 nt
Filed under: Olea europaea subsp. europaea
Lineage: Eukaryota; Viridiplantae; Streptophyta; Magnoliopsida; Lamiales; Oleaceae
Source: RNAcentral
UUUCCCAAUCUCACAAGCCCUUAAAAGAGGCGAGGCUAAAAAGACGGAUCGAAGGCAAUCUACUCCACCAUCUCUCCAUUCCAUCUCUCCCAACCUCAACAUAGAACUCAACGCCUUCAAUGAAACCCAAGGCAUUCUGGCAUUUUUUUUGUCAAGGCAUUCAGUCAUUGUUUUCGUCAUUCAAAUCCCCACAACCAUAGUCUUCUUUGGCGAAUCUACAACUAAAAUUAGAUAAGCGUGAUACGUGGUUUACAUGGGUAUCUCGAAGCUGUUGAUUUCCGAAAAAAAUUUGGGUAAUUAUGAAUUUUCAAUUAGAAACCAGUAUCUGAAUUUUUAAUUACAACCCUGUUCAUAUGAUUUGAAGGUAGAUUAAUAUGUAAAUAUUUAUAGAAAUGGUGAAAUUGAUUAAGAUUUAUAUUUAUAUUUACGACGACAUAUGAUUAAUUGACUAGCUGAAUCAGAAACGAGUUAAGCUAAUGAUUUGAUUUUGUUGUUUUGAUAUGUGCCAUGAGGAGUUCCGGGAGACAAUAUUACAUGUUCAUCUGGCAAAAGAUGGUUCUCCAGGUACCAAGGAAUUGGUUAUCUAUAAGGACUCACUUACUCUUGUUUUAUGUGAUGUAUCCGGCGCCGAACAUGGUUUCUGUGUAUGGGUGAUGGAGAAAUAUGGAGCCGUGGAGUCUUGGACUUAAAAAUUCAACAUUAAUUUUUAGGAUUUUGGAGGAAGAUUUAUGAAGCCAUCGUGGGUUAGAAAAGAUGGUGAAGAGUUACUAAUUACAAAGGAUGGCUCUUUGGUUUCUUGUGAUUCCAAUGGAGAACAGGUUACUGAUGUUGGAGUCCAUGACUCGAGAUCUGAGGAUUAUCUACGCUAUAUUCAUGUCGAUGUUUACCCCAAAAUGUGGUUCUUAUAGAAAAAGUCAAUGAUGCAAGUUGAUUUUAUUUUUUAUUAAUUACCAAUUUACCUUAAUUUUACUUAUGGGAUUAGUGUAUCAUUGUUACCUUUCAGAAGUGUUGAGAAAUUACAAAUAUUUCAUUGCUUUGCAUGAUUCUAUUUAUUUAUAAAAUGGUCUUAAUCUUAUACAAUAAAAAGAUUACCAAUGGAUUGUGAGUUGAAGUCUGAUUAUAAUAUUAACUGGAACCAAACUGUUUAACUAAUUAUAAUAUUAACUGAUAUGGAGUUUUUGCAGCUUAUAAUGGCAGGACAGAACGAUGGAGUCUGCCAUGGUUGUAGACGAAGCAGUUACUUUGUGGAUUGUCAAAAUAAGGUCCAUUGCCCGUGGUAUAAAGCUGCAUAUGUGUGAAGUGUUUUGCAGUGGUAUAGAACAUGAUCAACAAAGGUAAAUUUAAGUGUUGCAGCAAAAAGUGCGGAUUUUGAGAGUAGGUCAAAGAGGAUGAAACAUCCCGCAAAUCAAGUUCCAUUGGCAGUUCCACUAAUAAUCAUUUGGCAACUGGAUUAGAGAAUAAUGUCUCUUGCAUAUUUGAAAUGAUGUGUCGAUUAACUAACGAAAAAGAUGUGAAGAUAAUCAUGACAAUACGCAAAGGAAAUGCAAAGUUAGAAUGUGAUAAGAAAGGAAAGGGCCCGGCAUGAUUUGUAGUUAUUCGUCUAUGAACUUCUUUUGUGACUUUUUUCGUCUACGAUGCAAAUGCAAAUGCAGAAUGUGACUUUCUUCAUCUACGAUGUUGUGAAGUGUUAAUGUAAUUUCAGUUUUUUAAAUGUUAAUGUACGAUGUUGAUGUACAAUGUAAUUUCAGUUUAUUGGAUAUUUUCCUAUGCUAGUUCUAUUGUAACAGUAGGCCAAAGGAAUAACAUUUCUUCCUCUAUCUUUCUGCCUCUUUUUUUAAGUGAAAGUUUCUGUUGACAUUUGAAGAAACUAUUCUCAUAACAAUAACAGGUGUAAAAGGAGUA